AUAUAUUAAAAAUUCAAAGAACUUCCACCAAUAAAUUCCCACCUUCCAUCGGAGACAAGGAAAAAAGUGAAAACAACCCACUCAGACAACCAACCCCUUCGUGAGCAGUGAAUUUCCAUUUUCGGUUUCAUUUCGUUCCGAACCAAAUCAGCGACCGAACUGGACUGGAUUUGCUUAUUUUCCUGCGCUGAAUCUUGCGCUUUCGUUUUGGCUCCUUCGCAUCGCAUCGUUGGCCGUCGUCGCCGUCGUUAUUUAUGUAAUAUUGCCGCACGCGGUGGCCAAUUUCGGACUGCUCGGCCACAUUAUGCAAAUGGACUUCGUUCGUUCGGUGAAGUUCGCGGUUUCUUGGCUUAGGUAAACAUUGAUUCGUAGGCGCUGCUGGCUGAUUGUUAUGGUUAUGUGUGGAUUUGAAAUUUUAUUAUUACGGUUUUCGGGCGAUUGGUGCAAUUGUUGGCUUUGGAGAUUAACUCCCCAGUGCGAUGGUGAUACCGAAAGUUGGAAAGAAGUCACAAUCUGCAUUAGUUUGGUCGGGCAUUGAAACGAAUUCGUACGUUUAAAGGAUCAUUUUCAAUCUGUGUUUUCUGUGUUCACAGAUUUUCAUUUUAUGGCCUCAUGUUUCAUCGGAGACCUCCCAUGGCGGCAGCAAGCGACGAACCGUCAAGCAUAGCUUACUUCAAUAAAAAUUAUCUCUACCAUUAUUCCGCCCGCAACCGGGAAGUAGUUUGGUGUUGAAUUUAUGCGAUUUUCUGCGGACCGCGUUGGCUUACCCAGUUAUUUGAAUAAGCAGUCCACAGUUCUGUUUGUUCACCAAACGAUGGACUCUGCACGUCUGUCUUCGCAAACCACUCGUCCCCAAAUGUAAGCAAUGCAAACAAAGCUGACCGAGAAGCGGACUAGUAGUAGCCCGAAAUCGUAACCAACAACCAGUGCGAAUUAGAAAUUCAAAUUUUUGAUCGUUUAUUUAUAGAGCACAGUGGCUGAAUUUAUAACCGUGCGAAAAAUUAUGUCAUUCAAAGCUUUUUUGGCCAAUGGACCCGGUUUCUCUGAAGACCUGUCCUGUUGAGCGAAAUCCGAUUUAAUUUUCCUCUCUAUAGCUUUUUUCCUUGCAACAACUGUUGAAUUAAAGAUUUUCUUGUCAAAUUUGCCAAAUUGUUUUUUUUGGAAUUCGAACAAUUUGUUUUACUGGCAACACUUUACACGAACUGUCAAACCGAUACGUCCAGUGUUGCCAAAAACGCUGCAAGCGUUUUCUAGAGGGUUGAGAAUGUAACAAAAGCACGAAAAACUCUAUUUAUUAUGAAAUUACUGGCAUGCGAGCAGUGUCAUUGUAAGCUUCAAGUUUCAUUUGUGGUAGGUAUCUAAUGGAAAAGAUCUAUUUGAAUGACAGUGAAAUUUCUCCAAGCAAAACAAAAACUUUCAAUCAACGUACCCCAUUUCUACAUGAAUGAAAUCAACAAGUCAUCGAAAUCUUUACCUUUUUGCUCCUUUCUCACCAGUAGGUAGUAUUGUGUCGUCCGAGAGGAGAAAACUCUUUUCAAAGCGACGAAUGGAGAACCUUGUCGAUGUUGAUUGAAAUCACUUUUCUUCUUGUGACAGGCUUAAUACAGCUACUACUGUACUGUGCUGUGGUGUGUUUGUUAUUACUAAUGGACUCCAAAUAGCGAAAGUGCGCUCGCAGCCGUUCGUUCUCAGCGAUAUAAUUACAGCUCACUUUGCUACCUUUAUCCUCUUUUAUUGGAUUCCCUCGUAUCGAAACCGGCGCGCACUUGAGACAAGAAAUAUCGUUUAGAUUUCAAAAGAAAAUAAACUGUCCAAGGGUUCGAUCAUCGAUCGUCUCGGUAGUUCAUGCUGAAGGCAGCACAAGAAGCAGCAAUGAGAGAGAAAAAAUCACAGCUCAAUGGACGAGUCAUCGUAAUAAAUGCUCCGGUGAUUGAAGAUGAUCUACUUUUACGAUCGUUUGCCGAGGGAGAGAUGUGAAUUUGAUGGGGCUUUUAUUGUCGCUAAUUGAAUUAUAAAUGCUUGGCAAUUAUGCGAUGGGACUCAAUACAGCAUUUAUCAUUGCAAUGCAGGGAGCUGAUCUUGGAACAUAGGAAGCAAUGUAUGAAUAAUGACGUCCUGACAUCUCUUCUUUUCAGAAAGGGUGCCAGAUAUUCUUUUUUAUUUACUCGCAAAAAAAACUACCCUUUGUAUAAGCAUUUUAUCGAGUUUUUAGCUACAUUCACAGGAAGACAAGGUGAUUUGAAACGACCGUCACAAAAGAUUUGUAUUGCAUCCCUACACUGAUUUAUGCCACAAGCAACUAUCAAUUUCGCACAUAUCACAACUGAUUUAGCAAACAUACUCUUUCAUUUUUGUAAGAAAAAGAGAAAUGAGGGAAAAAAAAUAAAAAAAUAUUUCCAAUCCAAAAUUCUAAAUAUUUGGUAAGAUUCAAAGGUUCUUGCAAAGUGGAGUUUCUGGUGCUUCUCGAAACUCUCAAGUAUCAAAAGAAUUUCUGAUAUGAAUUGCAGCCAGCUUUCAAAGAAAAAAAAAACAGAAAAAGGGAAAACCACUGCUGCCGUUUUGGUAACGAUUGCCAAAACUUCCAAAAAAAAUCUGAAAAUACAAGAAGCAAACUAAGUACUAAAUUAACAGGAAUUCUGCAGUAGACUCUGAGAUACAUGAUCGAUUAAGGCUUUUUACGGCAUCAUCAGCGUCGGCAGCCAUGUUGGAUAUGUGGCUCGAAAUUUCAAAGUGAUAAUUCUCAGCCACGAAAGCGAAUAUUCGUAUGAAAAAGUAUCAUCCUACAUGCUCACUCGCAGUGAUUGCGAUGAUACUUUUUCAGCUGCGAUACAGCAGUAUUAUCAGUUUUUCAUCACUUCAAAAACGCGAGGCAAACAAUCAUUGAAAAGUAAAAUAUUAAUGAUUCGUUUGAAAACUCAGUGAUGCAUUAUGACACCUUAAGUGAAAUGUUCUGAAGAUUUUAAAUAUUUAUAAAAUUCGGAAAAAGUAAAAUCCGUUUUUUUUGUUUGUUGAAUUGUUGUAGAAAUUUGAAGAGUAUUUUUAACGUUAAUACGUUACCAAAACUGAGCUCUGAUCCGACGGGUGGAUACGAACGGAAAAACAACAACAUCGUACACAGACUACACGCACUAAAACUAAUAGACACCCGAACAAAAUACACACUCACUAGCUACAACGCCGUGUGCCCUCGAAUAUACGGACAACCCAAAGCACACAAGCCCAAUUUACCUCUCAGGCCAGUGGUCCCCAACACAACGUCUCCAACGUACCAUCUUUGCAAAUACAUUGCCGGUAUACUCCAGAGAUCGUUCAAAAGCCAGUACAACGCGGUUGACUCAAACACGUUUUGCGAACAUGUCAAUCAACUAACGAUACCACCCGAUCAUGUGCUAGUGUCAUUCGAUGCGGUGUCACUGUUUACAAACGUGACGAAAGAGGUGGUUAUCCACGACAUAAUUUCCAUGUGGGAUGAAAUACGAGAGAACACCAAUAUAAAUUUGGAUCUUUUUCUCGAAAUUGUUGAUUUCUGCGUAGGAGCCAGUUGCUUUUGUUUCCGGCAAAAAUUUUAUGUCCAAAUAUCAGGCACAGCUAUGGGAAGUCCACUCUCUCCCAUUCUUGCCGACAUAGUAAUGGAGAAUUUGUUGAGAAGAGCAAUAACAGCGGCCAAUAUUCUACCAGAGUAUAUCCGCAAAUACGUUGACGACCUAUUCUUGGUUUUACACAAGGAUCAGGUGAAUGCGGUGUUGGCAACCUUCAACUCACAAAACCCGAGAAUUUUGUUCACGUGUGAAGUUGAAGAAAAUGGGCGACUACCAUUUCUCGAUCUGCUAGUAAUACGGGACGAGGAUGGUAGCGUUAAAACCGAUUGGUACGCCAAACCAAUAUCAUCCGGCAGGAUUCUCAACUACUACUCCUUCCAUCCGAGCGAUCAAAAACUGGCGGUAGUCAACAAUUUCAUCGACAGGGUCCGUAGGUUGAGCACCACUCGCAGCAGGGAAGAGCAAGAGCUACUCAUUCACCAGCACCUCAGCAAAAACGAUUACCCUCAUUCUCUCAUCAACCGACUCCUUCAUCAACCACCUCGUACAGACAACCCGGAAAAACCAACAAUCUACCGAUCAAUCCCAUAUGUCCAUGGUCUCAGCUCUAGCAUCAAGAGAAUACUCCACAAGAGCAACACACAAAUAGGAAUCUCCCACAGCUACAAAAACACAGUAGGGCAUCUUUAUAAGAAUGCAAAGGACCCGGUAUCUGAUCUCAGCAAAUGCAACGUCAUAUACCGGAUCGACUGUCGGGAUUGUCCAAGCACAUAUAUUGGGAUGACAACAAAUAAGCUGAGGAAUUGAAUGUACGGACAUCAAACACACGUCAACACACUGGAGAGAAAGUUAUUGGAAGGCCAUCAAUACACAGAUCCGGAAAUACUACAGCUUCAAGAAAAAUCUGCGCUAAUCCACCACUGCAUCCAGCACCAACACCGAUUCAAUAUUGGCAACCCCUCCAUCGUCGAUAUAACACAUAGGAAACAAGCUCUGCAAGUGUUGGAGAUGUGUCACAUCUCGACAACCUCCAACACGGUCAACCAUCGGACUGAUACCGACAAUCUAAGCUGUGCGUACGCACAUCUCCUCGCUUCGAUCAAAGAUCAGAGAGUAGAGAGAAUUGCGUUGUCAACAAACCGAAAUAAUCGACGAGAAACAGAUGAUCAAACAGCUGACCCAACUACCUAACCCACACUAACAAAUCCUACCACCCAAAUUACACCAAAGAUACACACCCCACAGUAAAAUCCGAACGGCGAUUGAUAACAGCCGCAGUGUUGUGUUCCGCUGAUUUCUUGUCCCGAGUGUCUCCCUUUCGUACCACCCACCCAACAUCCCACUAGGGUGCUGGUGAUGAACGAGAAAAGUGCAGUGUCUUUUAGAAUCCGACAAACGAUCGUGUGCAAAAUACGAUUAUCACAAGUUGAUUAAGAUCGAGCCCUGAGGAAGAUCCCAACCCAAGGAUCGAAACGUUGGCAAUGAUAUAGAAGUAUCAACGCUUUUUCCGUGACUGAAAGCCAAAAAACUCCCAUAGUUAUCAAAAAUCCCAGUCGAAUCUUUCCAAAAUAUAAAAACUCAUAUUCCGUCAAUCAAUCAAAAUUUUCGAAAACGCAAUUGCUCAUUGCCUCUUUCCAAGAGAAUAAGUGGCCAUUCAGUUUCACCAACCUAAGGUAAUCCAAAAAAAAAUGGCCAAAAAUUUGUAAUUCGUGAUUUUUACAGCACAUUGGAUUCCGUAGAUAAUUGUGCGAGUUUACACCGAUUUUGUCUGUGGAGUGAAGGGUUACAGCAGGAUUCUCUCAGAAUCCUGACGAGGAUUCUCUCAGAAUCCUGCCGAGGAUUCUCUCAGAAUCCUGCCGAGGAUUCUCUCAGAAUCCUGCCGAGGAUUCUCUCAGAAUCCUGCCGAGGAUUCUCUCAGAAUCCAGCCGAGGAUUCUUUCAGAAUCCUGCCGAGGAUUCUCUCAGAAUCCUGCCGAGGAUUCUCUCAGAAUCCUGACGAAGAUUCUCUCAGAAUCCUGACGAGUAUUCUCUCAGAAUCCUGACGAGGACUCUCUCAGAAUCUUGUCGAGGAUUCUCUCAGAAUCCUGACGAGGAUUCUUGUGACGAGAAUUCUCUCAGAAUCCUGACGGGAAUUCUCUCAGAAUCCUGACGGGGAUUCUCUCAGAAUCCUGACGGGGAUUCUCUCAGAAUCCUGACGAGUAUUCUAAGUAUCCAGACGAGGUUUCUCUCAGAAUCCGGACAAGGAUUCUCUCAGAAUCCUGAUGCCAAUCCAAUAAAUGCCGUGCCAUUUUUCAAAAUGUUGUGCAUUACCAAAUCGUAAGAAAACCGACCUAUUUCAUGUUAAAUAUUUUUUGUUCCAUCCUUACACUCUGUGAUAAGGAGACUUCUCCCAGAAAAUCCCUCCGAAUAAAAGAAAUGUUUCAGAGAUUCUUUCAGAAAUUUGUCCGGGCAUUUCGCAGAAAUUUAUCUAUAAUCUAUGGUUCUAGAGGGCAAUGUAGUGUUGCCUCAAAAGACUUUAACAAGGUAGAGGGAAAAGGGUCUCUUACGGGUAGAACCCAAGAAUUCGUGUAUUCAAAGCAGAAACUGAAGGUAUAUGUAAGUACCAAAUGCGCCUUUUAUGCAUUUCUAGAUUUUUUGUAAAUGUUAUAAAAAAAAAUGACGUAUUCGAAUAUUACAACUGCCAGCGAAAUCAUGUUUGAAAUUUUGGUUCAAAACUCAAUAGUAGCACCUAUGGCGUCUAACUUGCUUCUUCUUCAGCUCAAUGCAAAACAACUGAUUAAUCAAAAGAUCAGAUACGAGUGCAGGGCGAUGAGCGCCAAAAGUCACCCUUAUUAUAUUUGUGUCUUGACAAAAACCAAAAAUGGGAAAAUAAAUAACCAUAAACCGUUAUUGCCUACCAAAACCACAUUUCGGUUCGCUCCGGAAGGGUUGAGAUAAAAAAACAAACAAAAACCCAAUCCGAUUGUCUUCCAAUUCGCUACACCCUGACAAAGUAGCGUAGUACGCUAAUACCUAAAGUGUAUCAUUCGCCUCGGCCAUAUAUCAUUUGCAUUGCACGUUUCGCCGCGUGGACUUUAUCCUAUUAAAAUAAAAUCACAAACUCGUUUCGCGUCCAACCAACUAACCAACCGGCAGCCCCUCGCGCAUAUCCGGCUCUAAGACCUUAAGGCUCGAUCGAAGCGGGGUGGAGCGAGCGAGCGUACCUACGCUCCUAACACUUUGUUUCAGGGAAAACAACUAAAUCAUGCCGCCGGAGAGCGCUGCGUCAAGGUCCAACCACGACGACGACUUAGCAUUGAUUGCCUUGAACAACGACGAUGACAACGACGACACUGCACUGCAAACUGUGGCUGUCGGUUGAAUUCGCGUGGAAUUCAAUUUGAACUUGGAAACAAAAGACCACGACACUGAUAUGCCG
Long non-coding RNA from Aedes albopictus (Asian tiger mosquito), 6956 nucleotides. RefSeq lists it as uncharacterized. The record is from RefSeq and is a predicted model, not a curated record. The transcript is spliced from 3 exons. NCBI's taxonomy places the organism in Eukaryota, Metazoa, Arthropoda, Insecta, Diptera, Culicidae.